This 527-nucleotide long non-coding RNA is filed under the name Trifolium pratense (red clover). RNAcentral describes it as "long non-coding RNA (TPRA_LNC007523)". The record is from RNAcentral. Lineage: Eukaryota; Viridiplantae; Streptophyta; Magnoliopsida; Fabales; Fabaceae.
UCAUUCAUUCCAAUAAUUGAUAUAGUACAUCAAAUCCAAAUACACAUUCAACAUCGCUAAAAACAAAAAGGAUGAAUCUGCGAACAAACUCACAGCAUCCGUGUUAGUAGCAUACAUCGGCAAAAUGCCUACAAAUAAUAAUAUGAUAAAACUAAAGUCACCGAAAUAUCCAUGUUUCCGGAUCUGCAACGUUGAUGCCCAAAUCAUUGAUUGAAUCUGCAAUUGAUUGAAGAUGAUCUUUCAAUAUGAACUAAACGAACACCGUAACAAGACGGAGAAUUCAACAACGUCGUACCAAGAUGACGGUCAACACAAACGCCGCACUCAGACGACAUCACACAAAUAAAAAAGAAAAACAACUAAAAAACUUAAUCUAUGUAAAAAAUCACUUAUUUAGAUUGAAAACAACAAGAAAAAAGGUGAAGAGGAGUGAUUUUAGGCCAAAUAUGACCUAAAAUCACCCCUAACUAGUAGAGGAAGAAGAAACUCAGAGAAAAAGAAAAUAGGGCCGGCUAGAGAAAGAGAAG